CAGAAAAAGAAAGUUUUGCAAAGUGCAGGGUACAUACUCAAAACAUUACACAUAGACAUAUCAUAGAGUCAAACUGCAGAAAACCAAAGAUAAAGAGACAAUAUAGAGGAAAUCCAGGGAUUGGAGAAUGCAUUCCAUGCAGAAGGACAAAGAUAAGAAUUACAGCAGAUGUCUCAUUAAAAAGACAAACAAACAUGCAAGCGAGAGUGGAAUGAAAUCUCUAAAAUGCUGAAAAAAACCCUGCAUCAGUGAAUUCUGUUUCCAUUGAGAUUAUCCUUCAAAUGUGAAAAAGAAAUACUUUUACAGACAAACAAAAACUGGGAGAAUUCCCAGUCAGCACACUUGCCCUUCAAGAAUGUUAAAAGAAGACUUUCAAGCAGAAGGAAAAUGAUAGCGAUCAGACAUUUGAUUUUACAUAAAAGAAAAGAGAACAUCAGAGAAGGAAUAAACGAAGAUUCUGAGCAAAUUCUGCUAAAUGGGAAAAUACUCUCAUCUCUUCUUGUGGAUAUUAUAAAUGUAAUACAUCAUACCUGCAAGCUGUCUGACGAGUUUACAAACCGAGAUUGG
This 567-nucleotide long non-coding RNA is filed under the name Equus asinus (donkey). Its description in RNAcentral is "lncRNA (ENSEASG00005029250.1)". The record is from RNAcentral. Lineage: Eukaryota; Metazoa; Chordata; Mammalia; Perissodactyla; Equidae.